Regulatory RNA element from Skermanella stibiiresistens SB22, 57 nucleotides. It matches the Rfam family "terC RNA". The record is from Rfam. Lineage: Bacteria; Pseudomonadati; Pseudomonadota; Alphaproteobacteria; Rhodospirillales; Azospirillaceae.
GUUUCAGUCCGGGCCCCUCUGGCGACCCCUCCCGGGUCGUGAUGUCGGACGUGACGC